CCCAAGGCCAACUGCUGCAAGAGAUUGAGUCGGGUUUAGCCCAAGGCCAAUCGCCCUAAAAAGUUGAGUCGGGUUUAGCCCAAGGCCAACUGCAGCAUACAGUUCCUGAAAGUUGAGUCGGGUUUAGCCCAAGGCCAACUGCUGCAAGAGAUUGAGUCGGGUUUAGCCCAAGGCCAAUCGCCCUAAAAAGUUGAGUCGGGUUUAGCCCAAGGCCAACUGCUGCAAAAGAUUGAGUCGGGUUUAGCCCAAGGCCAAUCGCCCUAAAAAGUUGAGUCGGGUUUAGCCCAAGGCCAACUGUAGCAAAAGAGUUCCUGAAAAGUUGAGUCGGGUUUAGCCCAAGGCCAACUGCUGCAAAAAGAGUUGUUGAGAAAUUGAUUUGGUCCGAAACUAGCUGCAGAUACUAAAGGAGUCGAGUUGAGUUAUUGCAAUCAGGAGGACAUUACUACUGUGAGGGCAGAGGUCUGCAAAUGAAUAGAUAAUAACAUGUAAAAAAAGCUGUAGAAGAACUAUUAAUGUAAUGUUUACCGCAGAAAGGAAUCUCUCAACGGUUCAAAUUUCACAAAAUCUACAGGGAAGGAAGGAUGGGGCACCAUAGCCUGCACAGAACUCAUCAAAAAGAACAAUGGAAGCUUACAACACAUAUUAGCGACACAUUGGAUUACACAAUGAUAAAAUCCACAAUAGAAAAAAACGGUUCUGCAACCAAACAUAUUAUUUUAACAAUGUUCUAUUGUAUUUAGAUUUUAAGCAGGGAUCUAUGUAGUCAACGUAUGUUUGAUGAACAAGUAAAUAAAUAACAAAUAUAAUCUAGUACUACAGUUAAAAAUAUGAUAAUACAUAUAUACAUAUGAAAAUAUAAGUAGAGUAUGUACAAGACACGAAAUGUAAGAUAGCGGGCCACGAAAGUUAAAAUUGUUAGCUAAUAAAAUUUCAUAUAAAUAACAUACAGCAUAAUAACAUGUUUAUCUUCAUAUCAAGGAAUCUUAUAUAUAAGGAAUAAAUACAAAACGUCAACCGCAGUAUGACUUGUUUUAUAUAUAGGGUAACCACCACGACAUAGUUGAAUGUGACUCUUCGUGAAAGUAAGUUUUGUUAAAGUUAACUCGGAGGAAAGCAGAAUAGUUGGAGGAUCAAUCCUUACGCAAAGAAAGGAACUGGAUCCGCAUCAUUGGCAUCGUUGAUAUUGGCAGCUUAUGCUGUUAGCCUUCGCUCUACGGGACGGACACUUCGCCAGGCGUUACCAAACUAAGACGAGAAACGACAGGAAGGAUUUUAGUUUAAUAUUAACUUUAUUGUUAGCGUUACUGUACUUAUUAUAACAUUCAAUUUGGCAAGGGGAGGAUGUGGCAUCCUGAAGAUUAUCCUAAAUUAGGCAAUCAGCGAUAAGCGUGUAGAGCUGUGGAUGGGUGAGUGAAAAGCGAGCGUGAAUCGGGGGCCAGUCUUGUGGAUGAUGCCAAAGAAUAAAGAUGGAGCUUUGCUCCCGUUAAGAAUAUAAA
This is a long non-coding RNA of Culex pipiens pallens (northern house mosquito), 1496 nucleotides long. RefSeq lists it as uncharacterized. Lineage: Eukaryota; Metazoa; Arthropoda; Insecta; Diptera; Culicidae. The transcript has 2 exons. The record is from RefSeq and is a predicted model, not a curated record.